AAUAAGCAUGUUUUACCUUCAUGAUUGUAAUUGAAUAUCUCUAGUAAAACCCUAUCCGAAUGUAUGAAAGUGUCAAAUUUUAUUUUCGGAUUUUCUUAAUCCUAACAAUUGGAUUUUCUUGAUACAUUAUCCUCUUCCGAACUUAACAAGCAUAUAUCAUAUCAAGUUUAAUUCACAUCAUUGAUUUUUGACAUAUGGAAUCAUCUAGCAAAUGCACUUAUCAUGUGAAAAAUAUUUUUCGAGAAACAUAUUUGAUGAUUCCCUCUUAUAAAAAGAAGAUAUUUUUACAUACAAAGAUUUGACUCACUUAUAUAUCUUAAUCCUUGCAAAAAUGAAGUGUGCUUUAAUAUCUUAUCGAUUUGAACUUCACAUAUUGUCACGCCCCUCAAAAUAUUAUCCAUGAUAUUAAAACAAUUUUCAACACAGACCAAUCCAUCCAGGAUCCAAACUAACGUUUGAGGACACUGAAAAACAUUCAAUCAAAUUCACAUCCAUAAAACCUGUGCAUUUUAAAAUCAUAUAUCACAUCACUCGAUAAUUCACAUUUAUGGCAACCCAAGCCAACUUGACAAACAUGAACAACAUUUAUAAAUCCACAAGCUAAAUAAAUUAUACAAUCAGAACUCCAACUAUUCACCACAAGUUCAUAUCAUCAUAAAUUAGACUUAACAUUCAGAAAUUCCAAAUAAGAGAGAUCUCCUAACACUUUGACACAGUAUAUCCAUUUCGGUUCAUCGACAACAUUUCAUUACAUACAAAACAUACUUAUACAACAAUAUCGUAAUAACCACCCAGACUUGCCCAUAAUUCUGAAUAGCUAUCCACUGCCUCAGCGCAAAUCAACAUCUCGAAGAGUGACAAGCUGACCUGAAAGAUUUAUAUAACAACGGAGUGAGCCAAAAACGGCUCAGCAAGUGACAAAGCAUAUUCAGAACAAAAGGAACGGUUUCAAACGAGUAAGGUAUCAUAAUGCAAGGCAGAAUACAAGAAUUCUCAAGGAUACCAUCUCAAUAGAUACCAAAUCAUAUGUAUCAUGUCAUUCAAAAUAUAUUUGAUCCAUAACGAAUGGAGCAUAGAGUAAUUGGAGCAUAUCAAUGGCAGAUAGGACAUAUAAGAACAUAUCAGUUCGUAGCAAAUGGAGCACAGAGUAAUUGGAGCAUAUCAGUAACAAAGGAAACAUAUCGGAGCUUAUCAAUGGCAGAUAGGACAUUUCAGAACAUAUCAAUGG
RNAcentral lists this long non-coding RNA (1228 nucleotides) under Musa acuminata (dwarf banana). Its description in RNAcentral is "long non-coding RNA (MACU_LNC010443)". The record is from RNAcentral. Lineage: Eukaryota; Viridiplantae; Streptophyta; Magnoliopsida; Zingiberales; Musaceae.